CCUACGGGUGGCAGCAGUGGGGAAUAUUGCCCAAUGGGCGCAAGCCUGAUGCAGCCAUGCCGCGUGUGUGAAGAAGGCCUUCGGGUCGUAAAGCACUUUCAGCGGGGAGGAAGGCGUUAAGGUUAAUAACCUUGUCGAUUGACGUUACCCGCAGAAGAAGCACCGGCUAACUCCGUGCCAGCAGCCGCGGUAAUACGGAGGGUGCGAGCGUUAAUCGGAAUUACUGGGCGUAAAGCGCACGCAGGCGGUCUGUCAAGUCGGAUGUGAAAUCCCCGGGCUCAACCUGGGAACUGCAUUCGAAACUGGCAGGCUAGAGUCUUGUAGAGGGGGGUAGAAUUCUAGGUGUAGCGGUGAAAUGCGUAGAGAUCUGGAGGAAUACCGGUGGCGAAGGCGGCCCCCUGGACAAAGACUGACGCUCAGGUGCGAAAGCGUGGGGAGCAAACAGGAUUAGAUACCCUGGUAGUC
RNAcentral lists this ribosomal RNA (465 nucleotides) under uncultured Klebsiella sp. Its description in RNAcentral is "bacterial SSU rRNA". It matches the Rfam family "Bacterial small subunit ribosomal RNA", at positions 338 to 795 of the family's 1533-position model. The record is from RNAcentral. Lineage: Bacteria; Pseudomonadati; Pseudomonadota; Gammaproteobacteria; Enterobacterales; Enterobacteriaceae.